RNAcentral lists this ribosomal RNA (255 nucleotides) under uncultured bacterium. RNAcentral's name for it is "partial 16S ribosomal RNA". It matches the Rfam family "Bacterial small subunit ribosomal RNA", at positions 524 to 776 of the family's 1533-position model. The record is from RNAcentral.
UACGUAGGGUGCAAGCGUUUAAUCGGAAUUACUGGGCGUAAAGCGUGCGCAGGCGGUUGUGCAAGACAGUUGUGAAAUCCCCGGGCUCAACCUGGGAAUUGCAUCUGUGACUGCAUCGCUAGAGUACGGUAGAGGGGGAUGGAAUUCCGCGUGUAGCAGUGAAAUUCGUAGAUAUUAGGAAGAACACCGGUGGCGAAGGCGGCCCACUGUCCGGUACUGGACGCUGAGGUGCGAAAGCGUGGGGAGGCAAACAGG